GCCUUCGUGGUGUAGUGGUCAGCACGCUCGACGCAUAACCGAGAGGUCCGUGGUUCGAUUCCUGGUGAAGGCG
Molecule: transfer RNA, 73 nt
Filed under: Stegodyphus mimosarum
Lineage: Eukaryota; Metazoa; Arthropoda; Arachnida; Araneae; Eresidae
Rfam family: tRNA
About the family: Transfer RNA (tRNA) molecules are approximately 80 nucleotides in length. Their secondary structure includes four short double-helical elements and three loops (D, anti-codon, and T loops).
Source: Rfam by way of RNAcentral